CAAGUCGAGCGAUGAGAUCACUUCGGUGAAGGAUUAGCGGCGAACGGGUGAGGAACACGUGAAGAAUCUGCCUUCAACUCUGGGAUAACUCCGGGAAACCGGGGCUAAUACCGGAUAUGAGCCUUGAUCGCAUGAUCGGGGCUGGAAAGUUUUUCGGUUGAAGAUGACUUCGCGGCCUAUCAGCUUGUUGGUGAGGUAAUGGCUCACCAAGGCGACGACGGGUAGCCGGCCUGAGAGGGCGACCGGCCACACUGGGACUGAGACACGGCCCAGACUCCUACGGGAGGCAGCAGUGGGGAGUAUUGGGCAAUGGACGAAAGUCUGACCCAGCGACGCCGCGUGCGGGAUGAAGGCCUUCGGGUUGUAAACCGCUUUCAGCAGGGAAUAAGCGCAAGUGAAGGUACCUGCAGAAGAAGCACCGGCUAACUAUGUGCCAGCAGCCACGGUAAUACAUAGGGUGCAAGCGUUGUCCGGAAUUAUUGGGCGUAAAGAGCUCGUAGGUGGUUUGUUACGUCGGUUGUGAAAUUCAGGGGCUCAACCCCUGACUUGCAGCCGAUACGGGCAAGCUAGAGUUUGGUAGGGGAGACUGGAAUUCCUGGUGUAGCGGUGGAAUGCGCAGAUAUCAGGAGGAACACCGAUGGCGAAGGCAGGUCUCUGGGCCAAUACUGACACUGAGGAGCGAAAGCGUGGGGAGCGAACAGGAUUAGAUACCCUGGUAGUCCACGCCGUAAAACGGUGGGCGCUAGUUGUGCGAACCUUCCACGGUUUGUGCGACGCAGCUAACGCAUUAAGCGCCCCGCCUGGGGAGUACGAUCGCAAGAUUAAAACUCAAAGGAAUUGACGG
Molecule: ribosomal RNA, 844 nt
Filed under: uncultured bacterium
Lineage: Bacteria
Description: bacterial SSU rRNA
Rfam family: Bacterial small subunit ribosomal RNA
Source: RNAcentral